CCAGUUGCCUCCUUGCACCCUAGAGAAGCAGCAGCUCUGGCCCUGACCUGGCCUCCAUCACCUGCUCAGGUGUGGAGCUUCUGGGCAAUUUGAGCCCCCAUCACCAUGUGCUCCUCCACCUGGGCAGGACCCAGAGCCAUGCUGGGCUGCCUGGCCCUCCUCUGGGCCCUCCUGGUUCCUGGCCACCAAGAGAUCAGGCUGGUACAGCUGCCCGUGAUAGUGUCGCAUGUGGGGAACUCUGUCACCAUGCCCUGCCGGGUCAGUACGUCCGUCAGCUACAUCCAUUGGUAUCGCCAGCUGGAGGGCCAGGUCCCUGAGAGGCUCCUCUAUCUGGCCACGUCGAAGCGGGAUGUGCAGUGGGAUUCCGUCCUGCAAGGCAAUAAGGUCACCGCUAAGAAGGGCAAUGAUGACAAAAGCUGUACCCUAUCCUUGAUGAAGCUGGAGAAGGGUGAUGAGGGCCUGUAUUACUGUGCUGCCUGGGUCGGUUCAUACAACAAAAUCUUCGGUGCUGGAACAAAACUUUUCGUCGUAGACAGAAAUCUUGCUACAGACAUGACCCCCAAGCCCACAGUUUUCCUUCCUUCAAUUGCUGAGAUAGAGCACUCUAAGGUUGGAACAUACCUUUGUCUUCUGGAGAAGUUUUUCCCUAAUGUUAUUCAGGUUUAUUGGAAAGAAAAGAAUGACAACACAGUUCUGGAAUCCAUGCAAGGAAACACCGUGAAGACUGAUGACACAUACAUGAAAUUCAGCUGGCUGACUGUGAGUGAAGAGUCCAUGGGUAAAGAACACAUAUGUUUCGUCAAACAUGAGAAAAACAGAGUAGAACCUGUUCAGGAGAUUCUUUUUCCUUCAAUUAAUGAAGUUGUCUCCUCAGCUGUCAUGCCUACUGAUUCUCCAAAUGAUUGCUUGAAGGAUGAAAGUAAAGUGUCUGAUAGUGAUUCUAGAAAGGCCUGUGUAAGAAAUGAAAGUGAAGUCACUAAUUCUACAAAAGCUUGUCUGAAAGAUGAAAGCAAUUCACUGCAGCUGCAGCUCGAGAACACCUCUGCCUACUACACCUACCUCCUCCUCCUCCUCAAGAGUACCCUCUACUUCGCCAGCAUCAUCUCCUGUCUGUUUCGGAGAACAGUCUGCAGCAGUGGGAAGACCUCCUGACAGAUGAGGCCACCAAGGGCUCAACUUCGCUUCCGCAUCAUUGUCUCUACAAGUGUCUGCUGAGGAUCUAGCAGGGCUUCCUUUCUGGGUUUGGCUUCUUUCAGAGAAUGUGUACAGCUUUCUAUUAUGUCAACAUUGCGUAGGCUUUUUGAAACCACUGGGCAAACAGACCCUUGCACUGCAUAACAAGGAAUUCUGCCAUGACUCGGGGCAGGGCUGAGGGCUGGUCCACGGGAGCCUUUCCCACCACUGUCCCUCAGUGUCAUCAGCUCCUCCAGCUGCCUGAGUCCUCUUGCCUCGCGAGCACACACAGCACAGCGCACAGCUCCCCGUCCCCUCCCUCAGGGCUCCACCCAGAUCACAGCCCUGACCUUCCCUGUACACAUCUGGAGCCCCCAGCUUUGCUGCUUCAAUUCUCUUCUCUGAUUUUCAUAAUAGGCAUAAUCACAUAAAAAGAUAUCCAACCUCCA
This is a non-coding RNA of Phacochoerus africanus (Common warthog), 1622 nucleotides long. The record is from the annotation of a RefSeq genome assembly. NCBI's taxonomy places the organism in Eukaryota, Metazoa, Chordata, Mammalia, Artiodactyla, Suidae.